RNAcentral lists this long non-coding RNA (746 nucleotides) under Pan troglodytes (chimpanzee). RNAcentral describes it as "long non-coding RNA NONPTRT015532". Lineage: Eukaryota; Metazoa; Chordata; Mammalia; Primates; Hominidae. The record is from RNAcentral.
CUCAUGUUCUGCACCUCAGGAGGGAAUUCAGCCUCAGUGAUGUCCAUGAGGCCUGUCCCAGGCUCUCUAUCUUCUCUGCUACAUCUCCACAACAGACAGAGACAGCCCAUGCCAGCCUCCAUGCCUGGGACCCUGCCCAACCCUACAAUGCCAGGAUCUUCCGCCGUCUUGAUGCCAAUGGAGCGACAAAUGUCAGUGAACUCCAGCAUCAUGGGGAUGCAAGGUCCAAAUCUCAGCAACCCCUGUGCUUCUCCCCAGGUCCAGCCAAUGCAUUCAGAAGCCAAAAUGAGGUUGAAGGCUGCAUUGACUCACCACCCUGCUGCCAUGUCAAAUGGGAACAUGAACACCAUGGGACACAUGAUGGAGAUGAUGGGCUCCCGGCAGGACCAGACGCCACACCAUCACAUGCACUCGCACCCGCAUCAGCACCAGACACUGCCACCCCAUCACCCUUACCCACACCAGCACCAGCACCCAGCACACCAUCCUCACCCUCAACCCCAUCACCAGCAGAACCAUCCACAUCACCACUCCCACUCCCACCUUCAUGCACACCCAGCACAUCACCAGACCUCGCCACAUCCGCCCCUGCACACCGGCAACCAAGCACAGGUAGACCUUUUCCGUGAUCUCUUUCCCCUUCUUAUUCUCCUUCUUAACAGUGCAAGCUCUAAUGCUGGGGUCAUUUGCAGCAAUCUUGUUUGACAAGCCCAGGUGUUCUAUCUCACAUUCUAGGGGCUCUGUUU